UACGUAGGGUGCAAGCGUUAAUCGGAAUUACUGGGCGUAAAGCGUGCGCAGGCGGUUAUGUAAGACAGGUGUGAAAUCCCCGGGCUUAACCUGGGAACUGCAUUUGUGACUGCAUAGCUAGAGUACGGUAGAGGGGGAUGGAAUUCCGCGUGUAGCAGUGAAAUGCGUAGAUAUGCGGAGGAACACCGAUGGCGAAGGCAAUCCCCGUGGACCUGUACUGACGCUCAUGCACGAAAGCGUGGGGAGCAAACAGG
Molecule: ribosomal RNA, 254 nt
Filed under: uncultured bacterium
Lineage: Bacteria
Description: partial 16S ribosomal RNA
Rfam family: Bacterial small subunit ribosomal RNA
Source: RNAcentral